UUACGAUCCAUGUGAAAGUCCAGAGGAACUUAGUCAUUGACUGUGGUGGGGCUGCAGGACGAUAAGAAUUCGGAAGUGAAAGAACUCAGAAGGCAGUGCCAGCAGCUGGAGUCUAUUAAACGGGGCAGGAUCUGUGUCAAAAGAGCUUCUCUCCAGAGUAGAAAGGAUCAGUGCGAAGAAAAUCAUUGGCUCAGAUUGCAACAGGCUGAAGAAAGCAUAAGAUAUUCUCGUCAGCAUCACAGUAUUCAGAUGGUGAGUGUCCUCCGAAGGAAAAUGUUCUAUGUUUGUGUAGCGUGACAUGCAGGCCUAGACUUGUGGAAACUGGAGUUGCGCUGCCCUGGACCUGCAGCUGUCAGCCAAUUCACCUCCAGGCCUGCAGUCUGGUUGCAGUCUUGGGGUGGUAAUGUUGGGGUACAGCCUCUUUCUUUGUCAAGACAUUUUUAUUGUAUGCCACGACAUUUUUGUAAUGUUGAGCAAUUUACAA
Molecule: long non-coding RNA, 484 nt
Filed under: Homo sapiens (human)
Lineage: Eukaryota; Metazoa; Chordata; Mammalia; Primates; Hominidae
Description: non-protein coding lnc-NIPA1-1:12
Source: RNAcentral